GAUGAAGAACGUAGCGAAAUGCGAUAAGUAAUGUGAAUUGCAGAAUUCAGUGAAUCAUCGAAUCUUUGAACGCACAUUGCGCCCGGUAGUAUUCUGCCGGGCAUGUCUGUUCGAGCGUCAUUUCAACCAUCAAGCCCCAGCGCUUGUGUUGGGGGCCUGCGGCUGCCGCAGCCCCCCAAAAGCAGUGGCGGGCUCGCUAUCACACCGAGUGCAGUAGUUCAUCUUCUCUCCGGUCUUGUGAGGCGGGUUCCGGCCGUGAAACACCCCACUACAUUCAAGGUUGACCUCGGAUCAGGUAGGAAUACCCGCUGAACUUAAGCAUAUCAAUAAGCGGAGGA
This 338-nucleotide unclassified non-coding RNA is filed under the name soil metagenome. RNAcentral describes it as "partial contains 5.8S ribosomal RNA, internal transcribed spacer 2, and large subunit ribosomal RNA". The stretch from base 1 to 120 matches the Rfam family "5.8S ribosomal RNA", at positions 35 to 154 of the family's 154-position model. The record is from RNAcentral.